RNAcentral lists this ribosomal RNA (435 nucleotides) under uncultured bacterium. RNAcentral describes it as "partial 16S ribosomal RNA". It matches the Rfam family "Bacterial small subunit ribosomal RNA", at positions 29 to 507 of the family's 1533-position model. The record is from RNAcentral.
AGCGAACGCUGGCGGCAGGCUUAACACAUGCAAGUCGAGCGGGCACUUUCGGGUGUCAGCGGCGGACGGGUGAGUAACGCGUGGGAACGUGCCCUCUGGUUCGGAAUAACUCAGGGAAACUUGAGCUAAUACCGGAUACGCCCUUUUGGGGAAAGGCUUGCUGCCGGAGGAUCGGCCCGCGUCUGAUUAGCUAGUUGGUGAGGUAACGGCUCACCAAGGCGACGAUCAGUAGCUGGUCUGAGAGGAUGAUCAGCCACACUGGGACUGAGACACGGCCCAGACUACUACGGGAGGCAGCAAUGGGGAAUAUUGGACAAUGGGCUCAAGCCUGAUCCAGCCAUGCCGCGUGAGUGAUGAAGGUCUUAGGGUUGUAAAGCUCUUUUAUACGGGACGAUAAUGACGGUACCGGAGGAAUAAGCCCCGGCUAACUUCGUG